This 673-nucleotide ribosomal RNA is filed under the name Lutibacter sp. RNAcentral's name for it is "bacterial SSU rRNA". It matches the Rfam family "Bacterial small subunit ribosomal RNA", at positions 28 to 698 of the family's 1533-position model. The record is from RNAcentral. Lineage: Bacteria; Pseudomonadati; Bacteroidota; Flavobacteriia; Flavobacteriales; Flavobacteriaceae.
GAUGAACGCUAGCGGCAGGCUUAACACAUGCAAGUCGAGGGGUAACAGGGUGCUUGCACCGCUGACGACCGGCGCACGGGUGCGUAACGCGUAUAGAACCUACCUUUUACAGGAGAAUACCCCAGAGAAAUUUGGAAUAAUGCUCCAUAGUAUUAUUGAAUGGCAUCAUUUGAUAAUUAAACAUUUAUGGGUAAAAGAUGGCUAUGCGUUCUAUUAGCUAGAUGGUAAGGUAACGGCUUACCAUGGCAACGAUAGAUAGGGGUCCUGAGAGGGAGAUCCCCCACACUGGUACUGAGACACGGACCAGACUCCUACGGGAGGCAGCAGUGAGGAAUAUUGGACAAUGGAGGCAACUCUGAUCCAGCCAUGCCGCGUGCAGGAAGACGGUCCUAUGGAUUGUAAACUGCUUUUAUACAGGAAGAAACACUCCCUCGUGAGGGAGCUUGACGGUACUGUAUGAAUAAGCACCGGCUAACUCCGUGCCAGCAGCCGCGGUAAUACGGAGGGUGCAAGCGUUAUCCGGAAUCAUUGGGUUUAAAGGGUCCGUAGGCGGGCUAAUAAGUCAGGGGUGAAAUCCAACAGCUUAACUGUUGAAUUGCCUUUGAUACUGUUAGUCUUGAGUUAUAUGGAAGUAGAUAGAAUGUGUAGUGUAGCGGUGAAAUGCUUAGAGAUU